CCUACGGGUGACAGCAGUGGGGAAUAUUGGUCAAUGGACGCAAGUCUGAAGCAGCGAUGCCGCGUGCGGGAAGACGGCUCUCUGAGUUGUAAACUCCUUUUGUACGAGGGUAAAUCCCGAUACGUGUAUCGGGUUGAAAGUAUCGUACGAAUAAGGAUCGGAGAACUCCGUGCCAGCCGCCGCGGUAAUACGGAGGAUUCAAGCGUUAUCCGGUUUUAUUGGGUGUAAAGGGUGCGUAGGCGGUUCGAUAAGUUAGAGGUGAAAUCCCGGGGCUCAACUCCGGAACUGCCUGUGAUACUGUCGGGCUAGAGUUUAGUUGCGGUAGGCGGAAUGUAUGGUGUAGCGGUGAAAUGCAUAGAGAUCAUACAGAACACCGAUGGCGAAGGCAGCUUACCAAACUACGACUGACGUUGAGGCACGAAAGCGUGGGGAGCAAACAGGAUUAGAUACCCCAGUAGUC
This 460-nucleotide ribosomal RNA is filed under the name uncultured bacterium. RNAcentral describes it as "partial 16S ribosomal RNA". It matches the Rfam family "Bacterial small subunit ribosomal RNA", at positions 338 to 795 of the family's 1533-position model. The record is from RNAcentral.